CUGAACUCUGGAGGCGAAGAAAGCUGUGGUGGUUCAGAGACUGUCUCCAGGACAGGAAAUAUCUUGCUGGGAUUGGACUUUGAUUUCACAGGAAGAACAGAAGCUUCUGGAACUGGCUGCUGAAGCUGCCUCCCCAGGGGUCGAGGCCUGCUUUUGAGAAGGGCUUAGCUCCAGGUCUUUGACUUCCAGGGACUGACGGAGCAAGGCAACAAAAGCUGUUUAGACUCUGGGCUCCACAACUGUUUGACCUGGAGUGGAUCAGGGAGACAGCAUAAUGGUUUUGAAGAAGACUUCCAUACCUGAGGCUUUGAGGUCCCAGAUCAACCCCUGGCACCACAGAAGCCAGAGCUGUGCACUGCUCUGGUAUAAAGCAGCAACAACAAAACACAGGUUUAAUCUAGUGUGUGCGCAUGCGCAUGCGCACGCACACGCGCACACGCAGACGAAUGUCUCGUGUAAGUUUCCCACUCAUUCAUGAGGUAUGUAAGCUAUCACACCUACCACCAAAGUCCUG
This is a long non-coding RNA of Erinaceus europaeus (western European hedgehog), 514 nucleotides long. RefSeq lists it as uncharacterized. The transcript is spliced from 4 exons. NCBI's taxonomy places the organism in Eukaryota, Metazoa, Chordata, Mammalia, Eulipotyphla, Erinaceidae. The record is from RefSeq and is a predicted model, not a curated record.